RNAcentral lists this ribosomal RNA (491 nucleotides) under uncultured bacterium. RNAcentral describes it as "partial 16S ribosomal RNA". It matches the Rfam family "Bacterial small subunit ribosomal RNA", at positions 29 to 507 of the family's 1533-position model. The record is from RNAcentral.
AGUGAACGCUGGCGGUAGGCCAACACAUGCAAGUCGAACGGCAGCACAGUAAGAGCUUGCUCUUACGGGUGGCGAGUGGCGGACGGGUGAGGAAUACAUCGGAAUCUACUUUUUCGUGGGGGAUAACGUAGGGAAACUUACGCUAAUACCGCAUACGACCUACGGGUGAAAGCAGGGGAUCUUCGGACCUUGCGCGAUUGAAUGAGCCGAUGUCGGAUUAGCUAGUUGGCGGGGUAAAGGCCCACCAAGGCGACGAUCCGUAGCUGGUCUGAGAGGAUGAUCAGCCACACUGGAACUGAGACACGGUCCAGACUCCUACGGGAGGCAGCAGUGGGGAAUAUUGGACAAAGGGCGCAAGCCUGAUCCAGCCAUACCGCGUGGGUGAAGAAGGCCUUCGGGUUGUAAAGCCCUUUUGUUGGGAAAGAAAAGCAGCAGGUUAAUACCCCGCUGUUCUGACGGUACCCAAAGAAUAAGCACCGGCUAACUUCGUG